GAUGAACGCUGGCGGCGUGCCUAAUACAUGCAAGUCGAGCGAACGGACGAGAAGCUUGCUUCUCUGAUGUUAGCGGCGGACGGGUGAGUAACACGUGGAUAACCUACCUAUAAGACUGGGAUAACUUCGGGAAACCGGAGCUAAUACCGGUUGAUAUUUUGAACCGCAGGGUUCAAAAGUGAAAGACGGUCUUGCUGUCCCUUAUAGAUGGAUCCGCGCUGCAUUAGUUAGUUGGUAAGGUAACGGCUUACCAAGGCAACGAUGCAUAGCCGACCUGAGAGGAGGAUCGGCCACACUGGAACUGAGACACGGUCCAGACUCCUACGGGAGGCAGCAGUAGGGAAUCUUCCGCAAUGGGCGAAAGCCUGACGGAGCAACGCCGCGUGAGUGAUGAAGGUCUUCGGAUCGUAAAACUCUGUUAUUAGGGAAGAACAUAUGUGUAAGUAACUGUGCACAUCUUGACGGUACCUAAUCAGAAAGCCACGGCUAACUACGUG
This 497-nucleotide ribosomal RNA is filed under the name uncultured bacterium. RNAcentral describes it as "partial 16S ribosomal RNA". It matches the Rfam family "Bacterial small subunit ribosomal RNA", at positions 28 to 507 of the family's 1533-position model. The record is from RNAcentral.